This 75-nucleotide transfer RNA is filed under the name Caudoviricetes sp. RNAcentral's name for it is "tRNA-Phe". It matches the Rfam family "tRNA". From Rfam's summary of the family: Transfer RNA (tRNA) molecules are approximately 80 nucleotides in length. Their secondary structure includes four short double-helical elements and three loops (D, anti-codon, and T loops). Lineage: Duplodnaviria; Heunggongvirae; Uroviricota; Caudoviricetes. The record is from RNAcentral.
GCCCAAGUAGCUUAUAAGGUUAAAGCGCGUGUCUGAAAAACAUGAGAAUAGGGUUCAAUACCCGCUGGGCUACCA